UUAAUAGCUUAUAUAAGAGCUUGAUAUUGAAGAUAUCACGGAAGUAAAUUUACUUUAGAAUAUUUAU
Molecule: transfer RNA, 67 nt
Filed under: Lycus arizonensis
Lineage: Eukaryota; Metazoa; Arthropoda; Insecta; Coleoptera; Lycidae
Description: tRNA-Phe
Source: RNAcentral